UUCUGUUCAUAUGUGCUACGAGACAAAUAUAUAUAUAUAUAUGUAGAUGUAGGUAUAUAUCAAUCUGCUGAAAUAAUCAAAACCCAGUUAUUUAUGUAUACACAUAUAUACAUAAAUAUAUGUAGUCAUAGAUAAUCAAAACCCUAAUUACAGAUAUAUGCAGUUAGGGUUAGUAUGUACGAAUUUAUAGAUGGAAGUACCAGGAUUCUUGUUUUUGCUUUUGUGGUUCAACGAGAGGACCCUGUGUGUGUGUGUGUAUAUAUAUAUAUGAAGAUGGAGAGAAUUAGAUAUAUAGGGUGAUAUAUAUUGAUGUAUGCAUAAUUAAAGGGAUUUAACGGAGAGUGAAGUAUGGGAGCACUAAAAAGAGGCAAGACAGGGUGGGGGAAUCACCAUGUUGUGGCGCAAUUUGGGAGAGACGACCGCGAGCACCAAACCAGUAAUUAUAAUUAUUAAGGCCAUUAAUUUGUAAAUAAUUUUCAAUAAUUAAUCAUGGUUUGUG
This 499-nucleotide long non-coding RNA is filed under the name Carica papaya (papaya). Its description in RNAcentral is "long non-coding RNA (CPAP_LNC014193)". The record is from RNAcentral. Lineage: Eukaryota; Viridiplantae; Streptophyta; Magnoliopsida; Brassicales; Caricaceae.